ACUUUGACUGUGCAAAGGUAGCAUAAUCAAUUGACUUAUAAUUGAAGUCUAGAAUGAAAGGAUGCAUGGGAAAUAACUGUCUAAAAUAGUGUAAAUAGAACUUACUUAAUAAGUGAAAAUGCUUAUAGAGAAAUAAUAGACGAGAAGACCCUUGAAAUUUUGUUUAAAAUCUCUAACGAUUAAAAUUUUGUUGGGGCGACAGAAUAGCACGUAACCUAUUCUAUGUUAUGGGCAUUUAUAUAAAGUGAUAAUAAAUUACUCUAGGGAUAACAGCAUAAUUUUUUAAAAGAUUGUGACCUCGAUGUUGG
RNAcentral lists this ribosomal RNA (308 nucleotides) under Elona quimperiana. Its description in RNAcentral is "partial large subunit ribosomal RNA". It matches the Rfam family "Bacterial large subunit ribosomal RNA", at positions 1939 to 2535 of the family's 2925-position model. Lineage: Eukaryota; Metazoa; Mollusca; Gastropoda; Stylommatophora; Elonidae. The record is from RNAcentral.